Molecule: transfer RNA, 61 nt
Filed under: Phlogotettix sp. EMHAU-2015-Zz052705
Lineage: Eukaryota; Metazoa; Arthropoda; Insecta; Hemiptera; Cicadellidae
Description: tRNA-Ala
Source: RNAcentral
AGGAUUAUAUUUAAUUAUAAUAUUUAAUUUGCAAUUAAAGGGUACCUAAGGGUUAAUCUUU